AGUGAACGCUGGCGGUAGGCCUAACACAUGCAAGUCAAACGGCAGCACAGGAGAGCUUGCUCUCUGGGUGGCGAGUGGCGGACGGGUGAGGAAUACAUCGGAAUCUACCUUUUCGUGGGGGAUAACGUAGGGAAACUUACGCUAAUACCGCAUACGACCUACGGGUGAAAGCAGGGGACCUUCGGGCCUUGCGCGAUUGAAUGAGCCGAUGUCGGAUUAGCUAGUUGGCGGGGUAAAGGCCCACCAAGGCGACGAUCCGUAGCUGGUCUGAGAGGAUGAUCAGCCACACUGGAACUGAGACACGGUCCAGACUCCUACGGGGGGCAGCAGUGGGGAAUAUUGGACAAUGGGCGCAAGCCUGAUCCAGCCAUACCGCGUGGGUGAAGAAGGCCUUCGGGUUGUAAAGCCCUUUUGUUGGGAAAGAAAUCCAGCUGGCUAAUACCCGGUUGGGAUGACGGUACCCAAAGAAUAAGCACCGGCUAACUUCGUGCCAGCCGCCGCCGUAA
Molecule: ribosomal RNA, 506 nt
Filed under: uncultured bacterium
Lineage: Bacteria
Description: partial 16S ribosomal RNA
Rfam family: Bacterial small subunit ribosomal RNA
Source: RNAcentral